CCCAGUAUUGCUGGGUGGAUUAGUGGCGAACGGGUGAGUAACACGUGAGUAACCUGCCCUUGACUCUGGGAUAAGCACUGGAAACGGUGUCUAAUACCGGAUAUUUCAGCUGGCCGCAUGGUCUGGUUGUGGAAAGAAUUUUGGUCAAGGAUGGACUCGCGGCCUAUCAGGUAGUUGGUGAGGUAAUGGCUCACCAAGCCUACGACGGGUAGCCGGCCUGAGAGGGUGACCGGCCACACUGGGACUGAGACACGGCCCAGACUCCUACGGGAGGCAGCAGUGGGGAAUAUUGCACAAUGGGCGAAAGCCUGAUGCAGCAACGCCGCGUGAGGGACGACGGCCUUCGGGUUGUAAACCUCUUUUAGUAGGGAAGAAGCGAAAGUGACGGUACCUGCAGAAAAAGCACCGGCUAACUACGUGCCAGCAGCCGCGGUAAUACGUAGGGUGCAAGCGUUGUCCGGAAUUAUUGGGCGUAAAGAGCUCGUAGGCGGUUUGUCGCGUCUGCUGUGAAAACUGGAGGCUCAACCUCCAGCCUGCAGUGGGUACGGGCAGACUAGAGUGCGGUAGGGGAGAUUGGAAAUUCCUGGUGUAGCGGUGGAAUGCGCCAGAUAUCAGGAGGAACACCGAUGGCGAAGGCAGAUCUCUGGGGCCGUAACUGACGCUGAGGGAGCGAAAGCAGGGGGGAGCGAACAGGGAUUAGAUACCCCUGGGUAGUCCAUGCCCGUAAACGUUGGGGAACUAGAUGUGGGGGGCCAUUCCACGGGUCUCCGUGGUCGCAGGCUAACGCAUUAAG
Molecule: ribosomal RNA, 793 nt
Filed under: Agreia sp.
Lineage: Bacteria; Bacillati; Actinomycetota; Actinomycetes; Micrococcales; Microbacteriaceae
Description: partial 16S ribosomal RNA
Rfam family: Bacterial small subunit ribosomal RNA
Source: RNAcentral